AGUGAACGCUGGCGGUAGGCCUAGCACAUGCAAGUCGAACGGCAGCACAGUAAGAGCUUGCUCUUACGGGUGGCGAGUGGCGGACGGGUGAGGAAUACAUCGGAAUCUACUUUUUCGUGGGGGAUAACGUAGGGAAACUUACGCUAAUACCGCAUACGACCUACGGGUGAAAGCAUGGGAUCUUCGGACCUUGCGCGAUUGAAUGAGCCGAUGUCGGAUUAGCUAGUUGGCGGGGUAAAGGCCCACCAAGGCGACGAUCCGUAGCUGGUCUGAGAGGAUGAUCAGCCACACUGGAACUGAGACACGGUCCAGACUCCUACGGGAGGCAGCAGUGGGGAAUAUUGGACAAUGGGCGCAAGCCUGAUCCAGCCAUACCGCGUGUGUGAAGAAGGCCUUCGGGUUGUAAAGCCCUUUUGUUGGGAAAGAAAAGCAGCAGGUUAAUACCCCGCUGUUCUGACGGUACCCAAAGAAUAAGCACCGGCUAACUUCGUG
This 492-nucleotide ribosomal RNA is filed under the name uncultured bacterium. Its description in RNAcentral is "partial 16S ribosomal RNA". It matches the Rfam family "Bacterial small subunit ribosomal RNA", at positions 29 to 507 of the family's 1533-position model. The record is from RNAcentral.